CGCGAUGAUGAGGUCAUUAAAUCUCGUUAAUCUGAUGAUUUAUAUGAGGAUAGCAUAUCUAUCCAUUCACUCUUACACUGAGC
RNAcentral lists this small nucleolar RNA (83 nucleotides) under Genlisea aurea. Its description in RNAcentral is "Small nucleolar RNA U30". It matches the Rfam family "Small nucleolar RNA U30". The record is from Rfam by way of RNAcentral. Lineage: Eukaryota; Viridiplantae; Streptophyta; Magnoliopsida; Lamiales; Lentibulariaceae.